GACGAACGCUGGCGGCGUGCUUAACACAUGCAAGUCGAACGGAAAGGCCCUGCUUUUGUGGGGUGCUCGAGUGGCGAACGGGUGAGUAACACGUGAGUAACCUGCCCUUGACUUUGGGAUAACUUCAGGAAACUGGGGCUAAUACCGGAUAGGAGCUCCUGCUGCAUGGUGGGGGUUGGAAAGUUUCGGCGGUUGGGGAUGGACUCGCGGCUUAUCAGCUUGUUGGUGGGGUAGUGGCUUACCAAGGCUUUGACGGGUAGCCGGCCUGAGAGGGUGACCGGCCACAUUGGGACUGAGAUACGGCCCAGACUCCUACGGGAGGCAGCAGUGGGGAAUAUUGCACAAUGGGCGGAAGCCUGAUGCAGCAACGCCGCGUGCGGGAUGACGGCCUUCGGGUUGUAAACCGCUUUCGCCUGUGACGAAGCGUGAGUGACGGUAAUGGGUAAAGAAGCACCGGCUAACUACGUGCCAGCAGCCGCGGUGAUACGUAGGGUGCGAGCGUUGUCCGGAUUUAUUGGGCGUAAAGGGCUCGUAGGUGGUUGAUCGCGUCGGAAGUGUAAUCUUGGGGCUUAACCCUGAGCGUGCUUUCGAUACGGGUUGACUUGAGGAAGGUAGGGGAGAAUGGAAUUCCUGGUGGAGCGGUGGAAUGCGCAGAUAUCAGGAGGAACCCCCGUGGCGAAGGCGGUUCUCUGGGCCUUUCCUGACGCUGAGGAGCGAAAAGCGUGGGGAGCGAACAGGCUUAGAUACCCUGGUAGUCCACGCUGUAAACGGUGGGUACUAGGUGUGGGGUCCAUUCCACGGGUUCCGUGCCGUAGCUAACGCUUUAAGUACCCCGCCUGGGGAGUACGGCCGCAAGGCUAAAACUCAAAGGAAUUGACGGGGCCCCGCACAAGCGGCGGAGCAUGCGGAUUAAUUCGAUGCAACGCGUAGAACCUUACCUGGGUUUGACAUGGAUCGGGAGUGCUCAGAGAUGGGUGUGCCUCUUUUGGGGUCGGUUCACAGGUGGUGCAUGGCUGUCGUCAGCUCGUGUCGUGAGAUGUUGGGUUAAGUCCCGCAACGAGCGCAACCCUUGUUCACUGUUGCCAGCACGUUAUGGUGGGGACUCAGUGGAGACCGCCGGGGUCAACUCGGAGGAAGGUGGGGAUGACGUCAAGUCAUCAUGCCCCUUAUGUCCAGGGCUUCACGCAUGCUACAAUGGCUGGUACAGAGAGUGGCGAGCCUGUGAGGGUGAGCGAAUCUCGGAAAGCCGGUCUCAGUUCGGAUUGGGGUCUGCAACUCGACCUCAUGAAGUCGGAGUCGCUAGUAAUCGCAGAUCAGCAACGCUGCCUCUUAAAGGGUCCCGGGGCU
RNAcentral lists this ribosomal RNA (1347 nucleotides) under uncultured bacterium. RNAcentral describes it as "partial 16S ribosomal RNA". It matches the Rfam family "Bacterial small subunit ribosomal RNA", at positions 28 to 1381 of the family's 1533-position model. The record is from RNAcentral.